CGUCCACCGCACCAAUUCAUACAUAUGCAUCAUAAAUCAAUUCUUACCUGUGCGUCCACCGCACCAAUUCAUACAUAUGCAUCAUAUAUUAAUUCAUGCAUGGCAUUUCAACUCACAUUUCUAUAUACUUUUCAUAUCAAUUCUAUGCAUGGUAUUUCACUUCCCGUUUUUCCACAUAACUCAUAUGCAUUUCAUUUUAAACAUAUUUUCAUGCAUUUUCAAUUUCUGGGAAAACGUUAAGUAUAUAUAUAUAUAUACGGAAAACAAAACUGCCCACUCACCUGGAGUUCAUCCAACAACUCCCUAGCACCACACAUCAAGGCGUCACGACGAUCGCCGCCUAGAAUAGUAAUCAAAUCCAACCUCAGAAUUCAUAUCGAUAGAAUAUUUAACUUAUAUAAAAUACGUCACUACGUAGUUCGAUCCGGAAGAUCUGCCACUCAGAUUUUAAAUCCAUAACUUCCAGAGGUCCACAAUAUAUCUCUAGGACAACAUCCUAAAAUUUCAUUACCAUCCAACGGUCGGAUCUCCGUCAAUUUCCAAAACUAAGUGACGGUUAACAUUUUAUAUUAUGGACUUACAAUUCCAAUUCCGGAAGAUCCGUAACUCGGAUUCCCAAUCCAUAAGUUCCAAUAAUCCUCAAAUAUUACGUACUAUAACGUAUCAAAGUUUGGUGAUGAUCCAACGGUCGGAUCAUCAAUUCACAUUUUCACCUAAAUGUGAAAACUAUAAAACGUUAUUUGAACACCUAACCAACAAUCUUCAAUAACUUUCUCAUACGGUGUUCAAUUUAGGUAUAUGAAUAUACCACAGUGAUCUACUCGACGUCACGGACGUCGACAUAUUUUUAAAAUAAUUUUAUUUUUAUUUUUUAUUUUUACUGUAGCACCUUCUUCUUCCUUGGGUCGCCGGACUGGUUUUUCCGGCGGCCGUUUUCUGAACAGUUUUUCAAAUUGCCAUAACUUUGUCAUUUCUCAACGAAAUCAAGUGAUUCAAAAACGAAAGUUGUAGCCCUUGAAGAGACAAAGAGAAUGGUACCUUGCACAACACCUAGUUCGCCGUGGUUUGGCCGGAAACUGCCUCGAAAGCCUCGGAGGUCGCCGGAAACUGGGUAUUUUUCAAAUGAGUAUAACUUCUUCAAUACUCAACGAAAUUGAGUGAAACAAAAAGGAAAGUUGUAGUACUUGACGAGACGAAGAGAUUGAUACCUACCUCGACUCCUAACUCGCCGGGGAUUCGCCGGAAAAAGCCUCGAAAGCUCCGGCCAAAUUUUGAACUUGUCGAUCUCCGUGUUCUUACGUCCAAAAACUUCCAACGAAGCACUCCGAGCUUCCUUGGGACCUCACUAAGCUCACUAUGAGCUUGGAUUGUCCUAAAAAUCAACCAAUUCAAAGCUCAUGAACAGUACACUUUCAUGGGGAGUUUAGAAUCUAGGUUUUCCGAAGUAAAACUUACCUGAAAUGGAUACCAACGUGAUCGUGAAGUCCUCAGGAUUCCAAUGGUGGUCUCAAACUUGACGUUGGUAUAGAUUUAGGGUGGUUUUGGUGGUGGUCCGUGUGAGUUCGAAGGAGAGAGAGACAGAGAGAGUGAGAAAUCGUGAAGGAGGAGAGAGAAAGACAGUGAACGGGAAAUGAGGAGGGUUUUGAGGGAUGUGGGGAUCCCACGUGGUCCUUAUUCCAAUCUCCAAACACCAAACUUUAACAUUUUAACCUAAAAAUCUAAGUUCCAUCCUUAUUAAAUUCCAUUUUAUUUUUCAAACUUAGGAACCUAGAUAAUUAGCAACCUGAGCUUCACAAAUUUAGUAUUUCUUAAGGGCAAUUUCGUCCAUUCACAGCCACGAAUAUAAUAAUUUGGAACGGGCUGUGACAAUCUUCCCUCCUUAUAGAAUUUCGUCCCCGAAAUUCCAGCAACCAACCAAUUCAUCAACACUUAUACCAACCUCGGUAAGUUUCUUUCAUCCGAUUCUUUUUCUCCCACGUAAUUUUCUUCCACUGAAUGAUUCCUUCACAAAACUUUUACCAUUUACUCUAUCUUAACUCUCAGGACCUUCUUUUUCCAAUCCAAAUUCUACUUUUCUAAGGUGAACACUUCUAAAAUAUAAAACCAUCUUAUGAUCAACGUCACUUAUAAUAUUCAAUUGGUAGUAACCAGAUCUCAAUUCAAUCUUUGAAUCUUCGCAAUUACUUUUGAGUUGGUUAAAUAAACAUCAGUACAUCACCAUGGAUAACGGUUCUCAAUCGUUACCCGACUCCAUUAUCUAUAAUCAAGGAAUAGUCUUUAAAGUCCAUUUUCUUUCUCACCCACAAACUGGUGCUCCUCAACAGUGUUGUACUAGGUUGAAUAAAACUUUUAUCAACCAAUUCUCUCAACUGAAUUUCCAAUUCCCUUAACUCAUCAUGAACCAAUCUUUAACAUAAAUUUAUACCUGGCAACAAAUCAAUAAUGAACCUCAUAUCUCUGCCUGAAGACAAUCCAGGUAUACUUUCAGAGAAGACAUCAAGAAAAGUCUAACUCUUUCGACAUUAUUCACACUACUCCAAACAACAUCAUUUAGCACCACAUGAGCUAAGUAUUUUUGACAGCCUUUCGAAAACAAUCUCUUUGCUCUCACAGCAUAAAUAAUGGCUGAACUCAAUCCACUUUGCAUACUUACAAAAGUAAUCUCUGUUCAUCCAGAUCGAUGGAAAGUGACUGGUUUCCCGUAACAAUCCAUUUAGUCACAAUUAUAACCAACCACUCUAAUGGAAAUAAUUUAACCGACACAAUACAUACUUUAUUAAUACUGAACAUUCUAAAUAAGUACAACACUAACAUAAAAUAACCUACCGGGUUGCUUGCUUAACGAAUCCACGAAUGAGUUAUUAAUAUUACGGUCUGCAGCCCGCAAUACUGAUAAAUCAUCGUUGUCUCGAUAAGUAGGCAACCACUCACAAAGAUAUAACAUUACUAUUUUGUCACUCAAUGCAAAAUACAUACACUCGUCUCAACUACAUUUAUUUACCACUCUCUAGGUAAUAUCAUACAUAAUAAGAAAUAUAUCAGCCGAAGUCAACUAGAAUGACCAAUACGGUUGAUUCAACUCUUAUCUCAAUAAUACGUCGGCCGGAUCCACUCCGCGUGGUCGGCACGGCCGAGCCUAUAACUCACCAAUUUCUCAUAUGUCAGUCAAAUCCAUUUCUCAUGGUCCGUACGGCUGAACAUAUAACUCAUCAAAUAUCUCUGUACUCACGGUCAAUCCGACCAAACUACUAAAUCCAUAACUCUGCUGAAUCGACACUAUGAUUUCAUGGAAAAUUGUUGAGUACAACUGAUUCUAGGGACGAUUCACAACUCUGUGUCCCUUCUGUUCACAUAAACACAUUCAUUAAUUUCACAUUUCCCAAAGUGUUAAUUUUGUACAUGCUGCACAAAGUACAUUUCCUUUACUCGAGACACCUUGUCUCAAAUAUCGGGGAUUACCAGUAUAUCCAUCACUUUUAUUCUGACCAGCGACAUUAAAACCUCAGCUGGAAAAAUUAACUCUAGCUUCACUUCUUUCGAAGCUCUGAAUCUUUCUAUAUCCUUGAUAUGACGAAUCAUUAACUUUAUCGUCUUCUUUUAAUUCCCAUUCUUUUCUUAUUCUUCUUUAUUCUCGUUGCUCAUGUUCUCAGAGUCCUCAAGGCUCAACAACAUCUAGCAUACUCCUGAUAAGAACUACAAUGGAUAGUGGUCACCCAAAAUACCACUUCCCUUUUUGCCACCCAGCUUAAAACAACAUAACACCUCCACCAAAUUAACAACAAUAUCUGGAUGGAACGAGGCAAGUCUGAAAACUUUCUAUAAUAUCCCUCGAUCAUCACCUUCCUUGUCUCAUAUUUGUAAACUCUUGUUUACUACCAUCAAUAAAUGCCGGAGGGAUAAACUUUUCCUUAAAAAAUUUUUAAAUCGGCUGAUUCCUCUGGUGACAACAAUUAACAUUCCUGUUUCCACCAGGAUGCAAAUUCAUACCCAAAACCAGGUAGUCGUCUCGACCCACCUGUCAGAAGGAAAUUUCCUUUGACUUGCAUAAUCUGAAACAUCUUUUCCAAUUGGUUAAACCGUCACUCCGCUCCCUCAGGUUCAUCAUUUCAUAAGGUGAUUCAAAUUCAACUCAUAACCCGUCUUAAAAUGUCCAUUUUGAUAAUAUACUGAAUCACCAUAAUCAUAGUUUCCCCCAAACCGCUAAAUCAGGGAGACUAAAUUCCUCUAACUACGUGGUUUGCUACGAGGCGGUGUAGUUCUGACAGAAUUCACUAUAAACUUCUCAAGAUGUCCAAGAUUGCAACCAUGCUCUGAUACCAACUGACACACCCCGUCCCGAAGGAGGGCAUGCUGGCCGUCACGUGAGAGUGACGUAACCAUUUGCACAGUACGGAAGCUUUAAGAUACAAUUUAAAUUGAUACACCCGAAGGUGAGUCCUAAUUUUGUCCAAUCUGUCAGAACACCGUCGAAUUCCUCGUAGUCACCACACCUUUGUGAUUCCUGAACCUGGAGGGGCGCAAAACCAAAAUUGAGUGGGUCAGUAAAACAAUUCUUUUCCAAAUCCAAACAUUUCUCAAAACGUUGUAACCCCUCUCCGUAAAACCUGUAUACUUUCCCAGAAAUGUAAAAUAUAAAUAUACAUAUAUAUUCUCAAAACUUCAUUUUUACUAUCUCAACAUUAUCUCUUUAUCAAUCAUGCCAUGCCAUGUCAUCUCAACAUUUCUCAUAUUAAUUAUGCCAUGCCACAUCAUCUCAACAGUAAUAAGGUAUGAAUGCAUCAACAUAAUCAUAUCAGGUGCAAGAAAGUAAUCAACCGUAGGCCCUCUAAUAGCCCUAUACGGUUGAACCUAGAGCUCAAAAUCUAUCAUUAUCACUCUACCGGAGUCACCUCUGUGACCCGUCCGGCCUUCUGCACACAAGUUACGCUCUAGUGCUUCUCAUAAAUCAUCUGUGCACAUAAUCUAAGGUCACCCACCAGUCGGAAUCUCACUAACACUCUCGCGACUGGUCUGUCGUACCCACUCCGCGUGGACUGUACGACUAGCAUCUACUUGGAUCCAAGGCGAGCGUGCGAUGCGGUGAAUACUAUAAGCACUAAACCAUGGUGCAGGAUUUGAGCUCAAUAUAUAUCAUCAUCAUCAUAACAGUAAUUAAAUACUCAUCUGUGCGUCCACCGCACCAUUUCAUACAUAUGCAUCAUAAAUCAAUUCUUACCUGUGCGUCCACCGCACCAAUUCAUACAUAUGCAUCAUAAAUCAAUUCUUACCUGUGCGUCCACCGCACCAAUUCAUACAUAUGCAUCAUAUAUUAAUUCAUGCAUGGCAUUUCAACUCACAUUUCUAUAUACUUUUCAUAUCAAUUCUAUGCAUGGUAUUUCACUUCCCGUUUUUCCACAUAACUCAUAUGCAUUUCAUUUUAAACAUAUUUUCAUGCAUUUUCAAUUUCUGGGGAAAACGUUAAGUAUAUAUAUAUAUACGGAAAACAAAACUGCCCACUCACCUGGAGUUCAUCCAACAACUCCCUAGCACCACACAUCAAGGCGUCACGACGAUCGCCGCCUAGAAUAGUAAUCAAAUCCAACCUCAGAAUUCAUAUCGAUAGAAUAUUUAACUUAUAUAAAAUACGUCACUACGUAGUUCGAUCCGGAAGAUCUGCCACUCAGAUUUUAAAAUCCAUAACUUCCAGAGGUCCACAAUAUAUCUCUAGGACAACAUCCUAAAAUUUCAUUACCAUCCAACGGUCGGAUCUCCGUCAAUUUCCAAAACUAAGUGACGGUUAACAUUUUAUAUUAUGGACUUACAAUUCCAAUUCCGGAAGAUCCGUAACUCGGAUUCCCAAUCCAUAAGUUCCAAUAAUCCUCAAAUAUUACGUACUAUAACGUAUCAAAGUUUGGUGAUGAUCCAACG
Molecule: long non-coding RNA, 5907 nt
Filed under: Malus domestica (apple)
Lineage: Eukaryota; Viridiplantae; Streptophyta; Magnoliopsida; Rosales; Rosaceae
Description: long non-coding RNA (MDOM_LNC014393)
Source: RNAcentral